CCAAUAGCGUAUAUUAAAGUUGUUGCAGUUAAAAAGCUCGUAGUUGAAUUUCGGAAUCAAUGGGUUGGUCAUGCCCUCGGUAUGUACUGAUUUCAUUGGUUCUCACCUUCUAAGGAACCAUGAUGUCAUUUAUUUGAUGUUGUGGGAAAUUAGGACUGUUACCUUGAAAAAAUUAGAGUGUUUAAAGCAGGCUAACGCUUGAAUACAUUAGCAUGGAAUAAUGAAAUAGGACAUCCGAUUCUAUUUUGUUGGUUUCUAGGAUCGAUGUAAUGAUUAAUAGGGAUAGUUGGGGGCAUUAGUAUUCAAUUGUCAGAGGUGAAAUUCUUGGAUUUAUUGAAGACUAACUACUGCGAAAGCAUUUGCCAAGGAUGUUUUCAUUAAUCAAGAACGAAAGUUAGGGGAUCGAAGACGAUCAGAUACCGUCGUAGUCUUAACCAUAAACUAUGCCGACUAGGGAUCGGAUGAUGCUUAUUUUUUAAUGACUCAUUCGGCACCUUAC
RNAcentral lists this ribosomal RNA (499 nucleotides) under uncultured Glomeromycotina. RNAcentral describes it as "partial small subunit ribosomal RNA". It matches the Rfam family "Eukaryotic small subunit ribosomal RNA", at positions 591 to 1091 of the family's 1831-position model. Lineage: Eukaryota; Fungi; Glomeromycota. The record is from RNAcentral.